ACGGAAGGCAGCAGCUAAGAAUAUUCCGCAAUGGACGAAAGUCUGACGGAGCGACGCCGCGUGGAUGAUGAAGGUCGGAAGAUUGUAAAAUCCUUUUAUAACUGAGGAAUAAGUAUGGUGAGAGAAACGCCAUAUGGUGACUGUAGGUUAUGAAUAAGCAACGGCUAAUUACGUGCCAGCAGCCGCGGUAAUACGGAAGGUCCGGGCGUUAUCCGGAUUUAUUGGGUUUAAAGGGAGCGUAGGCCGUGCUUUAAGCGUGUUGUGAAAUGUAGGCGCCCAACGUCUGCACUGCAGCGCGAACUGGAGCACUUGAGUACGCAGGAAGUAGGCGGAAUUCGUCGUGUAGCGGUGAAAUGCUUAGAUAUGACGAAGAACUCCGAUUGGGAAGCCAGCUUACUGUAGCGCCACUGACGCUGAUGCUCGAAAGCGUGGGUAUCGAACAGGAUUAGAUACCCUGGUA
Molecule: ribosomal RNA, 460 nt
Filed under: uncultured Prevotella sp.
Lineage: Bacteria; Pseudomonadati; Bacteroidota; Bacteroidia; Bacteroidales; Prevotellaceae
Description: partial 16S ribosomal RNA
Rfam family: Bacterial small subunit ribosomal RNA
Source: RNAcentral